GACGAACGCUGGCGGCGUGCUUAACACAUGCAAGUCGAACGGAAAGGCCCUGCUUUUGUUGGGUGCUCGAGUGGCGAACGGGUGAGUAACACGUGAGUAACCUGCCCUUGACUUUGGGAUAACUUCAGGAAACUGGGGCUCAUACCGGAUAGGAGCUCCUGCUGCAUGGUGUGGGUUGGAAAGUUUCGGCGGUUGGGGAUGGACUCGCGGCUUAUCCGCUUGUUUGUGUGGUAGUGGCUUACCAAGGAUUUGACGGAUAGCCGGCCUGAGAGGGUGACCGGCCUCAUUGGGACUGAGAGAGGGCCCAGACGCGUACGGGAGGCAGCGGGGGGGAGUAUUGCAGAAUGGGGGGAAGCGUGAUGCAGCAACGCCGCGUGCGGGAUGACGGCUUUCGGGUGGUAAACCGCUUUCGACUGUGACGAAGAGUGAGUGACGGUAAUGGGUAAAGAAGCAACGGCUAACUACGUG
Molecule: ribosomal RNA, 468 nt
Filed under: uncultured bacterium
Lineage: Bacteria
Description: partial 16S ribosomal RNA
Rfam family: Bacterial small subunit ribosomal RNA
Source: RNAcentral